This 64-nucleotide transfer RNA is filed under the name Khawia sinensis. RNAcentral describes it as "tRNA-Tyr". Lineage: Eukaryota; Metazoa; Platyhelminthes; Cestoda; Caryophyllidea; Lytocestidae. The record is from RNAcentral.
UUCAGGUUAAUAUAUGUUUAAAUAUGAGAGAUUGUAAAUCUCUUUAAGGUAAUACCACCUGAGA